UGCAAGUCGAGGGGUAUAUGUCUUCGGAUAUAGAGACCGGCGCACGGGUGCGUAACGCGUAUGCAAUCUGCCUUUCACAGAGGGAUAGCCCAGAGAAAUUUGGAUUAAUACCUCAUAGUAUUAUGGAGUGGCAUCACUUUAUAAUUAAAGUCACAACGGUGAAAGAUGAGCAUGCGUCCCAUUAGCUAGUUGGUAAGGUAACGGCUUACCAAGGCAACGAUGGGUAGGGGUCCUGAGAGGGAGAUCCCCCACACUGGUACUGAGACACGGACCAGACUCCUACGGGAGGCAGCAGUGAGGAAUAUUGGACAAUGGGCGCAAGCCUGAUCCAGCCAUGCCGCGUGCAGGAUGACGGUCCUAUGGAUUGUAAACUGCUUUUGUACGAGAAGAAACACUCCUAUGUAUAGGAGCUUGACGGUAUCGUAAGAAUAAGGAUCGGCUAACUCCGUGCCAGCAGCCGCGGUAAUACGGAGGAUCCAAGCGUUAUCCGGAAUCAUUGGGUUUAAAGGGUCCGUAGGCGGUCUUGUAAGUCAGUGGUGAAAGCCCAUCGCUCAACGGUGGAACGGCCAUUGAUACUGCAGGACUUGAAUUAUUAGGAAGUAACUAGAAUAUGUAGUGUAGCGGUGAAAUGCUUAGAUAUUACAUGGAAUACCAAUUGCGAAGGCAGGUUACUACUAAUUGAUUGACGCUGAUGGACGAAAGCGUGGGGAGCGAACAGGAUUAGAUACCCUGGUAGUCCACGCCGUAAACGAUGGAUACUAGCUGUUGGGGGCAACUUCAGUGGCUAAGCGAAAGUGAUAAGUAUCCCACCUGGGGGAGUACGUUCGCAAGAAUGAAACUCAAAGGAAUUGACGGGGGGCCCGCACAAGCGGUGGAGCAUGUGGGUUUAAUUCGA
RNAcentral lists this ribosomal RNA (895 nucleotides) under Flavobacterium chungangense. RNAcentral describes it as "bacterial SSU rRNA". It matches the Rfam family "Bacterial small subunit ribosomal RNA", at positions 56 to 954 of the family's 1533-position model. Lineage: Bacteria; Pseudomonadati; Bacteroidota; Flavobacteriia; Flavobacteriales; Flavobacteriaceae. The record is from RNAcentral.